This 256-nucleotide ribosomal RNA is filed under the name uncultured bacterium. RNAcentral describes it as "partial 16S ribosomal RNA". It matches the Rfam family "Bacterial small subunit ribosomal RNA", at positions 524 to 776 of the family's 1533-position model. The record is from RNAcentral.
UACGGGGGGGUGCGAGCGUUGUCCGGAAUCACUGGGCGUAAAGGGCGCGUAGGUGGCCUGAUAAGGGUGUGGUGAAAGUCCGGGGGCUCAACCCCCGGAUCUGCCGUGCCGACUGUUGGGCUGGAGUACUGUAGGGGCAGGCGGAAUUCCGGGUGUAGCGGUGAAAUGCGUAGAUAUCUGGAGGAACAUCAGUGGCGAAGGCGACACCCUGGACUCAUACUGACACUGAGGUGCGAAAGCGUGGGGAGCAAACAGG